ACGGAAGGCAGCAGUGGGGAAUAUUGCACAAUGGGGGGAACCCUGAUGCAGCGACGCCGCGUGAGUGAAGAAGUAUUUCGGUAUGUAAAGCUCUAUCAGCAGGGAAGAAGAAAGACGGUACCUGACUAAGAAGCACCGGCUAAAUACGUGCCAGCAGCCGCGGUAAUACGUAUGGUGCAAGCGUUAUCCGGAUUUACUGGGUGUAAAGGGAGCGUAGGUGGUCUGGCAAGCCAGAAGUGAAAGCCCGGGGCUUAACCGCGGGACUGCUUUUGGAACUGUUGGACUGGAGUGCAGGAGGGGUAAGCGGAAUUCCUGGUGUAGCGGUGAAAUGCGUAGAUAUCAGGAGGAACACCGGUGGCGAAGGCGGCUUACUGGACUGUAACUGACACUGAGGCUCGAAAGCGUGGGGAGCAAACAGGAUUAGAUACCCUGGUA
This 435-nucleotide ribosomal RNA is filed under the name uncultured Lachnospiraceae bacterium. Its description in RNAcentral is "bacterial SSU rRNA". It matches the Rfam family "Bacterial small subunit ribosomal RNA", at positions 341 to 792 of the family's 1533-position model. The record is from RNAcentral. Lineage: Bacteria; Bacillati; Bacillota; Clostridia; Lachnospirales; Lachnospiraceae.